UUCUGGAUGUCUAAUAUUAUGAUUUACUGGACGCUUGCAUCAGGUCUGACGGGCCAGAUUGGCCGAUGCCUGGUACAUGAUGGCAUCUCCGAGGAGAAGGAACUACAUCACAAUUUACAUCAGGAAAGGUAACAUAUGAUUUCUUUUUCCCUUUUCCAAUUAGUAGUGAGACCAGCUACCGAGAAUGACCUGGAAUACCGGCUAACGCGAAGCAGGGUAUCGAUAACGUUUCUGGCGGGAAAAAUGCCAGAACAUCGAUUACCAGCUAGGCUGCUUUUACCUCCGAUUUAUCGAAGCCCAGGAGUAGUGAGACCAGCUACUGAUAAUGACCAAUGACAUCGGCCAACGCGAAGCGAUAUAUCGGUAACCAUUCUGACGGGAAAAUCGCCAGAACACCGAUUACUAGCCGUGCUUUUUUCCUCCGAUUUAUCGAAGUCCAAUAGCCCGCCUAGGCUUCCCGACCAAAACGGCGCGUCAGUGGUGAUUGAAAAUCCGGCAGAGGCACCAGUGAAACAGCUAACCAAAGUGAACAAGACGUAACGCAGCAUACAAAAUGGACGGACAUAAUGGAGACCAAAGUGAAGGAUGGGCAACAGUGCUAUCUAUCUCCUCGGAUGAUAGCAACUGCUCGUCGUCGCCGCCAUCUGCUAGAGUCUCAUCGCUGGAAUCCUAUGCCACAAUAUUUUAGCUUUAGAAUAUACAUCCACCUAAAAUCUUUCCCCAUAAUACCACAAAUUUUUCUUCUUACUAUAUUACUUAAACUUAAAACUACUACCUAAACUACUAGUACCUAUAAAAAUUGUAACUACCAUAAGCUAAGGCUAACUUAACGUAAAAUCCUAAAUCUUAGAUUCCAAUUUAAAUCAUGGCGCGUAUAACUGCCGCCAAGCAAAUCAAAAAUUUUCCUCGAAAUUGAAAUUCUUAAAUAGCUCUCAUAACCAUGGUGCGCACAAUCGCCGCCGAUCCAAAACUGUAAAAUGCCAUAAAUUGUAACUAUAUAUUUUAAAACAAAAUCAGAGUACAAUAAAAUGACAGCACCAACAGGCGCUGAGAAUAUUUAAAAAAAAAAAAAAAAAAAAA
This is a long non-coding RNA of Drosophila sechellia, 1080 nucleotides long. RefSeq lists it as uncharacterized. The record is from RefSeq and is a predicted model, not a curated record. The transcript is spliced from 2 exons. Lineage: Eukaryota; Metazoa; Arthropoda; Insecta; Diptera; Drosophilidae.